RNAcentral lists this ribosomal RNA (279 nucleotides) under uncultured bacterium. RNAcentral describes it as "partial 16S ribosomal RNA". It matches the Rfam family "Bacterial small subunit ribosomal RNA", at positions 506 to 784 of the family's 1533-position model. The record is from RNAcentral.
UGCCAGCCGCCGCGGUAAUACGGAGGGUGCGAGCGUUAAUCGGAAUUACUGGGCGUAAAGCGCGCGUAGGUGGUUUGAUAAGCUAGCUGUGAAAGCCCCGGGCUCAACCUGGGAACUGCAGUUAGAACUGUCUGACUAGAGUAUAGUAGAGGGUGGCGGAAUUUCCUGUGUAGCGGUGAAAUGCGUAGAUAUGACAUAGAACACCAAUAGCGAAGGCAGCUCACUAAGUCAUCAUUGACGCUGAGGGACGAAAGCGUGGGGAGCGAACAGGAUUAGAUA